AUUAGUAGAUUUUUUAUAAUACUUUGAAUUUUAAAAUAUUGUAAAUUUUACAUUAUUUCAUUUACUUAGUUUAUGUUAGACUGGUUAAUAAAACCAUAGCUACAAUCUUUGUAGUUUUUUCUGCUCUAUGAUUUUAAAUGGCUGUGGUUUUCACACUAAGGUAGCGAAAUCAUUAGCUAAUUAAUUGUUAGCUUGUAUGAAUGAAUUUUCUAAUAUAAAAUUAAUUUUUAUAUUUAAAUUAUAAUUUUGUUGAAAAUAACAAAAUUUUCUCUAAGACCAAAAGACCCUAAAAUUUUUAUGACUUUAAGGUUGUUUGGUUGGGGCAAUAAAUUAAAAAAAACAUAAGGAUUUAUUAUUAUUUUAGAACUUCUUUUAGAGAUAAAUUGAAAAAUACUUUAGGGAUAACAGCUUAAUUACUUUUUAUAGUUCUUAUUAAUAAAGUAGUUUGGGACCUCGAUGUUGGAUUGGGAAUUCUCUAGGGUGAAGAAGCUUUGGAUGGUAGACUGUUCGUCUAUUAAAUUUCCACAUGAUCUGAGUUAAAGUCGGCGUGAGCCAGACUGGAUUUUAUCUAGAGAUUAAAAAGUUUUGUAGGAUAGUACGAAAGGACCUUUUACUUAACAUAUUGUUAAAAAUUUUUUAUAGAGCUUUAA
Molecule: ribosomal RNA, 650 nt
Filed under: Trouessartia rubecula
Lineage: Eukaryota; Metazoa; Arthropoda; Arachnida; Sarcoptiformes; Trouessartiidae
Description: 16S ribosomal RNA
Rfam family: Bacterial large subunit ribosomal RNA (bases 269-574)
Source: RNAcentral